AAAAAUCCCAGCAGCCCAGGGAAUGGAAUGGAAUGGAACGGAGCACAGAAGCAGAAAGCUGGAGAGACAGUGCAGUGGGAGGCGUCAGGGCAGAGGUUACAGGCUGGAAUGACUUUGUGAGCAAAGAGAAGCAGCAGUAAAUGGUAUUUACUGUCCCAUGGCAGGCAGCAGGGAAGGUGUGACGGAGAGCAAAGAAAACAAGAUGGCCUCAUCGGAAAGCAGCCCCUGCUGACUCACCGGCUGAGUCACAGCCUUGCCCAGCUUCUACUCUUUUUCCAAUCAAGGAAACAGCAACUUCCCAUAAACUUAUUUUAAGGCUGGUUCGGAUGCUGAGCAUUCCUGCACCAAGUUUCUAGUCUUGACAAUCCCCCGUGCCCUUCCAUAUCUGUUUCCCAGCAGGAGGCACAAUCCUUCAAAGCACACAGUGUCCUGAGGUAGGAAACGGUGCUGUGGUGCUGUGGCCUCUCCAAAGCAGAAACAGGAUUUUCAAUUUACUGCUGAUCAGCCAUGCAAGCUGUGCCUCAGAUGGCCAAAGACAGGCUCUCACGAGAAUGGAGAGGCAAGGGGAAGAUUCAAGCUGGGAGGUUUCCAUUCUGGCACUGAACCUGUGCACUGCUGGGGAAAAUGCUCACCUUCAGAGCACUGCUUUGAAAGAGAAGAUUGCUCAUCCUCCUACUGUACUUUAAGGGUGGGAAGAAGAUAGCCUACAGUGGGAGACACAAAAACUCAGGAAUUACAACUUCUUCAACUAAAUUCCUUUCUGGAUUCAGAAAAAAUCAGUGAAAAUCAACAGGACACGAUAUCUUUUGCAGUCUUGCCACGAUCUCAGAGAAGGACCAGCACUUUGGUGAGACCUACAUCCUAAAGCACUGGGAUAACCAAAGAACCGCCCCAAACUGGGCCAAGAGACACUUCAGAGCUCAAAGACUACGUGGCAUUUUCUAAUCCAGAAAAUGACAACCUUGAGAAGGAUUCAAGAGUCACCACGGACAUGUACCUGGAUUCAAGCCCCCAGUGCUGUGGUGUGGGUAAAAAGGCCGGUGUGAUCCUCAGAUAAACAAUCACAUAGAAAGCUGUGGGAGGGAAGCGACUGUAUCUCCCUAGUUUGCAUUGAUGGAGCUGAUGCUGAAACAAUUCUUAUAUUUUUGUUGUUGAUAAAUUGGAUAGAGUGCAAGAAAAAGUCCUCAAAUAAUUGAUGUGAGGAAGAAAGCAAUCCUAAGGUUAGAAGAGCCCAGGCUGCUUACUUUAUUCAAAGGCAGCAGCAAAACUAGAUUACAAAGUAUAAAUACCUAGUGAGAACAUAGGCUUUUAAAAUUAUCACAGAAAGGCACAAAAGGCACCCGUGGUUGGAAACAAAGACAACUGAUACUAAAAAUAAGGUGCAGUUUUAUACUGUGAGUAUAACUAAUCACUGGAGGAAAUGAACAAGGGAAGUGGUGACUUCUUCUGUUUCUCAUGUUUUCCAUGCAGUACACAGUACCUUUCUAAGAGUUGCCACAGCCAAAUUGCUCAGCAAAGAUUGGAGCAGCCAUGGGAAGGGGAAAGAUCUGGGGUUCUGUUAUUGCCUGCUUGUUUACACUAUCUGAUGGCAUUUUAAUGCAUAAUCCAGGAACACAGGAAUUCACACCUUUACCACUGAA
Long non-coding RNA from Corvus hawaiiensis (hawaiian crow), 1640 nucleotides. RefSeq lists it as uncharacterized. Lineage: Eukaryota; Metazoa; Chordata; Aves; Passeriformes; Corvidae. The record is from RefSeq and is a predicted model, not a curated record. The transcript has 3 exons.